This 483-nucleotide ribosomal RNA is filed under the name uncultured bacterium. Its description in RNAcentral is "partial 16S ribosomal RNA". It matches the Rfam family "Bacterial small subunit ribosomal RNA", at positions 28 to 507 of the family's 1533-position model. The record is from RNAcentral.
GAUGAACGCUAGCGGCAGGCCUAAUACAUGCAAGCCGAACGGCAAGUUUGAUAGCAAUAUUGGACCUAGAGUGGCGCAAGGGUGCGUAACACGUAUGCAACCUGCCCGCGACAGGAGGAUAGCUCUCCGAAAGGGGAAUUAACCCUCCAUAACACCAUGAGAAGGCAUCUGAUUAUGGUUAAACCGCAAGGGUUCGCGGAUGGGCAUGCGGUUGAUGAGUUAGUUGGCGGGGUAAAGGCCCACCAAGGUGGUGAUCAAUAGGGGUUCUGAGAGGAAGGUCCCCGACACUGGCACUGAGAUACGAGCCAGACUCCUACGAGAGGCAGCAGUAGGGAAUAUUAGACAGUAGUUGCAAGACUGAUCCGGCCAUGCCGCGUGCAGGAAGAAGGCAUUCUAGGUCGUAAACUGCUUUUUCCUGUGGAUAAAAUACCCGUGCGCGAGAAAUUGAAGGUAACAGGGGAAUAAGCCACGGCUAACUACGUG